RNAcentral lists this long non-coding RNA (2654 nucleotides) under Homo sapiens (human). RNAcentral's name for it is "long non-coding RNA NONHSAT138819.2". Lineage: Eukaryota; Metazoa; Chordata; Mammalia; Primates; Hominidae. The record is from RNAcentral.
UUACUGUCUGUGACUGCACUACAAUGGGAGAGUUGAGUAGUUGCAACAGAGACAAUGUAACCUGUAAAGCCUUAAAUAUUUACUUCUGAACCUUUACAGAAAAUGUUUGUUGAUCCCUGAUCUAAAGCCAAGCAGUUCUCUCGACCUAGAUACUGCUUAUUCUUUGAUAAUUUCCCAUUCCCAUCUUGUUAACCAAUAAGGCCAGUUCAUUGAGACUAUGAAGAUAGCUUCCAACCCAUUCAAACUAUUUGCUUUUUCUUGAAUUUCCCUGCCUUCUCUUUCUCACCUUCCUAGAAUGCUAUUUCCUUGUGUUUUGCUUUUUAGCAGAAGAGAUGAAAUAGUAUUAAAGACUGUAAGAGUAGUCUCAUGAUGUCUUUUAAUUUAAUAUCUAGGCCCUAAUACACAACUCUUUGAAUAUUGCUACUAUCUUUCAGCAUGACUUUCCAAUACCAUUAAGAUUAAGCCUUUCUGUUCUUCAGUUUCUCUAACUCAAGUCUUCUAAGCUCCACAGCUUCCAACAUCUUUAAUUACCAGAUCUUCCCAAUAUUAUAACAUCCGUGCAUUCCAGUCCCUGUCCUGCAGCAUCUCCAAUGCCCUUGUUUUCUAAACUUCCCAGUAUUCAAGUCAUUAAAAAUUUAGGUCUUCUAAUAUCUCCAACAACCCAUCUUCAAAGUCCAGGUCUUGUCUUUCAGAAUCCAGAGUUCUAAAUUACAAGUCUUCCAUGGUCCUAAUCCUCCAAUGUCUCCUAUAUACAGGUCUUCUAGAGGCUAUGUAUUUCAUAGUGUUUAAGUCUAGAUUCUUCAAUGUCUUCCAGCACUUACAUCAUUCAGUUUUUACAUUUUUAAAUGUCUCCUACUUUCUAGUUUUACAGUGUAUUUUUAUCGCCAAUUCCUCCAAUGCCCAAGUCUUUAAAUACCUGCAAGAACUUUCAGGUACAUCAAUAUCCUCAAUGUCUGAAUGAAUAGACCUCUUAAUAUCCUGGUCUCAUAUUGUCCAGGCUGCCAGUAUUCUUGACAUCCAGCAUCUUUAAAAUUUAAUUCUUCCAAACUGUCUUUUUGACAUAAAUAUGUCAAUAUCCAUGCUUACCAAUGUCUCCCAAUAUCCAGGGCUUCUCAUUUUAGGAUUUAUAAAUGUCUACAUCUGCUGUUGUUUAUAUCUGCCAGUAUUUAGGAGUUCCAAGGUACAGGACUUACAAUAUCUCUAAUUUCCAGAGAUUUCAGUGUCUAUGACUUCCAAUAUUCAAUAUCCCAAUGUUCAGGGCCUCCAGAAAUAUCAAUGUCCAGAGUAACCAAUGUCUUCAAAAUCCAAGGCUUGCAAUGUCUCCAAUAUCCUGUGCUUACAAUGUUUCCAAUGUCCAGGGUUUCCGAUGGCACCUGUGUCAAGGUCUUCCAACAACUCCGGGUCUUCCAGCGACUUCAAGUCUUCCAAUAAUCUCAAGGUCUUCCAGAUAAUCCUGAGCUUCCAGAAAAUCCACAUCUUCCAGACAAUCCAUGUCUUCCGGACAAUCCAUGUCUUCCAAGAAGCUCCAAGUCUUCCAGUAAAUCAAGUCUUCCAGCAAAUCCAGUCUUCCAGCAAUUACUGGUCUUCCACCAAAUCCAGAUCUUCCAGGAAAAUCCACGUCUUCCAGGAAAUCCAUGUCUUCCAAUAAUUUCAAGGUCUUCCAUCAAAUACAGAUCUUCCAGCUAAUCCAUGUCUUCCAGAAAAAUCUGUGUCUUCCACCAAAUCCAAGUCUUCCAGUAAAUCUAGUUCUUCCAGAAAAAUCUAGAUCUUCCAGUCAAUCAGUGUCUUCCAGAAAGAAAUCCAGGUCUUCCAGUCAAUCAGUGUCUUCCAGAAAGAAAUCCAGGUCUUCCAGUCAGUCAGUGUCUUCCAGAAAAAUCUACGUCUUCCACCAAAUCCAGGUCUUCCAGUCAAUCCACAUCUUCCGGAAAAAAUCCAGGUCUUCCAGCCAAUAUAUGUCUUCCUGAAGAUCCACGUCUUCCAGAAAAUCCAUGUCUUCCAGAAAAUCCAUGUCUUCCAGUAACCUCCCAGUCUUCCAGAAAAUCCACGUCUUCCCAACAAUCCAAGUCUUCCGGAUAAUUUGGGUCUUCCUGAAAAUCUACGUCUUCCAAAAAAGCCAUGUCUUCCAGAAAAUCCACAUCUUCCAAUGGCCUCCAGGUCUUCCAGACUAUCCAUGUCUUCCAGAAAAUCCUUGUCUUCCCUUAAAUCUAUAGCUUCCAAAAAAUCCGGGUCUUCCAGGAAAUCCGUGUCUUCCAGCAAGUCCACGUCUUCCAACAAAGCCAUGUCUUCCAGACUAUCCAUGUCUUCCAGAAAAUCCUUGUCUUCCCUCAAAUCCAUAGCUUCCGAAAAAUCCAGGUCUUCCAGGAAAUCCGUGUCUUCCAGCAAAUCCACGUCUUCCAACAAAGCCAUGUCUUCCAUCAAAUUAAUGUCUUCCAGCCUACUUGUGUCUUCCAACAAAGGUCUUCCAGCAUCUCCAGGGCUUCCAGCAUCUGCUCGUCUUCCAACAUCUCCACGUCUUCCAGCAUCUCUGUGUCUUCCAGCAUCUUCAUGUCUUCCAACAACUACCCAGUCUUCCAUCAACUGGCUCAAUAUCCAUGUCUUCCAACGUCUCCAGUGUGCUGAUCUUCUGACAUUCAGGUCUUCCAGUGUCUGCAAUA